UGGCGGACGGGUGAGUAACGCGUAAAGAACUUGCCCUUUAGACUGGGAUAACAGAGGGAAACUUCUGAUAAUACUGGAUAAGUUAGUACAUCGCAUGAUAUGCAAAUGAAAGCUACGGCACUAAAGGAGAGCUUUGCGUCCUAUUAGCUAGUUGGUAAGGUAAGAGCUUACCAAGGCGAUGAUAGGUAGCCGGCCUGAGAGGGUGGACGGCCACAAGGGGACUGAGAUACGGCCCUUACUCCUACGGGAGGCAGCAGCG
This 259-nucleotide ribosomal RNA is filed under the name uncultured Leptotrichia sp. RNAcentral describes it as "partial 16S ribosomal RNA". It matches the Rfam family "Bacterial small subunit ribosomal RNA", at positions 96 to 356 of the family's 1533-position model. Lineage: Bacteria; Fusobacteriati; Fusobacteriota; Fusobacteriia; Fusobacteriales; Leptotrichiaceae. The record is from RNAcentral.